This 260-nucleotide ribosomal RNA is filed under the name uncultured prokaryote. RNAcentral describes it as "partial 16S ribosomal RNA". It matches the Rfam family "Bacterial small subunit ribosomal RNA", at positions 524 to 782 of the family's 1533-position model. The record is from RNAcentral.
UACGUAGGUGGCAAGCGUUAUCCGGAAUUAUUGGGCGUAAAGAGCGCGCAGGUGGUUGAUUAAGUCUGAUGUGAAAGCCCACGGCUUAACCGUGGAGGGUCAUUGGAAACUGGUCGACUUGAGUGCAGAAGAGGGAAGUGGAAUUCCAUGUGUAGCGGUGAUAUGCGUAGAGAUAUGGAGGAACACCAGUGGCGAAGGCGGCUUCCUGGUCUGUAACUGACACUGAGGCGCGAAAGCGUGGGGAGGCAAACAGGAUUAGA